AUUGAACGCUGGCGGCAUGCUUUACACAUGCAAGUCGAACGGUAACAGGGUGCUUGCACCGCUGACGAGUGGCGAACGGGUGAGUAAUGCGUCGGAACGUGCCGAGUAGUGGGGGACAACGCAGCGAAAGCUGUGCUAAUACCGCAUACGUACUGAGGUAGAAAGUGGGGGACCUUCGGGCCUCACGCUAUUCGAGCGGCCGACGUCUGAUUAGCUAGUAGGUGAGGUAAAGGCUCACCUAGGCGACGAUCAGUAGCGGGUCUGAGAGGAUGAUCCGCCACACUGGGACUGAGACACGGCCCAGACUCCUACGGGAGGCAGCAGUGGGGAAUUUUAGACAAUGGGCGAAAGCCUGAUCCAGCCAUGCCGCGUGUCUGAAGAAGGCCUUCGGGUUGUAAAGGACUUUUGUCAGGGAGGAAAUCCCUAGUGCUAAUAACACUGGGGGAUGACAGUACCUGAAGAAUAAGCACCGGCUAACUACGUGCCAGCCGCCGCGGUAA
Molecule: ribosomal RNA, 500 nt
Filed under: uncultured bacterium
Lineage: Bacteria
Description: partial 16S ribosomal RNA
Rfam family: Bacterial small subunit ribosomal RNA
Source: RNAcentral